CACAUACCUAUCCGCGUUUCUUUUAUUCAGGCCUCUAUUGGCCAUGUACUUGGGCAGCAGGGUCAAAGUGAAUAGGAACACGGCAUACCACAACAUCAGCAAGGCGCCAACUACUUCGUUCGGUUUGAAGUACGUAGAAAGAGUCUCAUUUGCCACAGUAACAAACCUACUGACACGGCCCGACCCGUUAUUGUCACGAUUCGUCUUUAGCUCGAGUUCGGCGCGGUGUUCUUCACCGCACGGAGCUCUUCUCACGUUGCUCGGAAAUUCUAAUUUGCGUUGAUCAUCGGAGCUCGUCUGGUGAUGCCUUACUUGAGAGCUUGAGAGCGUAUCGUCUAUGACUCGGAUCUCGUCUCGUUUUGCGGCGUUCGAAGGACGACCAACCAGCAAGGCUUUUCGUGCUGGAGGCUUUUUCACCGAGGAUGACUUUCUUGCUGGGGAUGUCCGCUUUGUUCUCCUGCAAGGUGAUGCCUUUCGAAA
This is a long non-coding RNA of Armigeres subalbatus, 480 nucleotides long. RefSeq lists it as uncharacterized. NCBI's taxonomy places the organism in Eukaryota, Metazoa, Arthropoda, Insecta, Diptera, Culicidae. The transcript is spliced from 3 exons. The record is from RefSeq and is a predicted model, not a curated record.